Rhinichthys klamathensis goyatoka is the source of this 570-nucleotide long non-coding RNA. RefSeq lists it as uncharacterized. The transcript has 3 exons. NCBI's taxonomy places the organism in Eukaryota, Metazoa, Chordata, Actinopteri, Cypriniformes, Leuciscidae. The record is from RefSeq and is a predicted model, not a curated record.
CAACAAGGAACAAAUUACAUCUCCCCCUAUUGUUACAGAUGGAGUAUCUCCGGUCUAGCCACUGAGCUUCAGUCUCUUAUUUAUCAGGAAUAAUAUUUUGUAUAAGAACCCUGCUGAGGGGAGGGAAUUGAGAACAAAGCGACAAAAAAAAAACUGGACUCGGAGAUGCCAGGACUCCCCAUGAGCUUGUGGAAUAACGGUGACAACAAGGCAAUGUUGUUCUUCCUCUUGGUCCACUCCUACAGCUAAUGUAUGGCUGUCAGCUGAGAGAAAAUGGAACAUCAAGUGGACUGUAUCAUUUUUCAGUCAAUGGAGAGUAUGUGCUCUCUAUGGACAUGGACAGCCCUCAAUGGCUCUCAUAUUUGCCACAGGAUUUGGAAAUUAAGAACAUUCUAGACAGUUCGCCCUGAAGCUGUGAUCAGAAGCCAGCGUGCUGGUUCUCUCAACUGUGUGGUGACAGGGUUUUACCCUAAAGAUAUCACUGUGGAGUGGAUGGUUGAUGGACAGCCAGCCUUAGAUGGAAUAUCAACAGGUCUCCUGCCAAAUCAUGACCAAACAUACCAGAUUCAG